GCUGACUUGGGUUGGAGCCACCCUGGUCAGUAGCCUGGUUCCUGUGCACAUUCGGGUUGCCGCCGCUCACCCACAACACCUGUAGACACCGUGUGUCCAACUCUCCCUGAGUACUCCGGGCCAAGGAGGGCCAUGAUUCUUCAGGCUGGAACCCCCGAGACCAGCUUGCUGCGGGUUUUGUUCCUGGGACUGAGUACCCUUGCUGCCUUCUCCCGAGCUCAGAUGGAGUUGCACGUGCCCCCGGGCCUCAACAAAUUGGAAGCGGUAGAGGGAGAAGAAGUGGUGCUCCCCGCCUGGUACACGAUGGCACGGGAGGAGUCGUGGUCCCACCCCCGGGAGGUGCCCAUCCUGAUCUGGUUCUUGGAACAAGAAGGGAAGGAACCAAACCAGGUGUUGUCUUACAUUAAUGGAGUCAUGACAAAUAAACCUGGAACAGCCCUGGUCCACUCUAUCUCUUCACGGAAUGUGUCCCUGCGCCUGGGGGCACUCCAGGAGGGAGACUCUGGGACUUACCGCUGUUCUGUCAAUGUGCAGAAUGAUGAAGGCAAAAGUAUAGGCCACAGCAUCAAAAGCAUAGAGCUCAAAGUGCUGGUUCCUCCAGCUCCUCCAUCCUGUAGUUUACAGGGUGUACCCUAUGUCGGGACCAAUGUGACCCUGAACUGCAAGUCCCCAAGGAGUAAACCUACUGCUCAGUACCAGUGGGAGAGGCUGGCCCCAUCCUCCCAGGUCUUCUUUGGACCAGCCUUAGAUGCUGUUCGUGGAUCUUUAAAGCUCACUAACCUUUCCAUUGCCAUGUCUGGAGUCUAUGUCUGCAAGGCUCAAAACAGAGUGGGCUUUGCCAAGUGCAACGUGACCUUGGACGUGAUGACAGGUCAGUAAGGGGGUCCAAGGCUGCAGUGGUCGCUGGAGCAGUUGUGGGCACUUUUGUUGGGUUGGUGCUGAUAGCUGGGCUGGUCCUGUUGUACCAGCGCCGGAGCAAGACCUUGGAAGAGCUGGCCAAUGAUAUCAAGGAAGAUGCCAUUGCUCCCCGGACCUUGCCUUGGACCAAAGGCUCAGACACAAUCUCCAAGAAUGGGACACUUUCUUCGGUCACCUCAGCACGAGCUCUGCGGCCACCCAAGGCUGCUCCUCCAAGACCUGGCACAUUUACUCCCACACCCAGUGUCUCUAGCCAGGCCCUGUCCUCACCAAGACUGCCCAGGGUAGAUGAACCCCCACCUCAGGCAGUGUCCCUGACCCCAGGUGGGGUUUCUUCUUCUGCUCUGAGCCGCAUGGGUGCUGUGCCUGUGAUGGUGCCUGCACAGAGUCAGGCUGGGUCUCUUGUGUGAUAGCCCAGGCACUCAUUAGCUACAUCUGGUAUCUGACCUUUCUGUAAAGGUCUCCUUGUGGCACAGAGGACUCAAUCUUGGGAGGAUGCCCACAUUCUAGACCUCCAGUCCUUUGCUCCUACCUCCUUCUAUUGUUGGAAUACUGGGCCUCAGUAAGACUAAAAUCUGGGUCAAAGGACAAAAGGAGGAAAUGGACCUGAGGUAGGGGGUUGGGAGUGAGGAGGCUUCACUUCCUCCCUGCUUCUCCCUGAAGCCAGAUGAAUGCUGCGGAAGAUCGGCUACCCUCCAAGGGCUCUGGAGGAGACUGCCAGUCAGUGAUGCCCCUGGCUCUGUGAUCUGUACAACACCCUUAUCUAAUGCUGUCCUUUGCCGUUCGCUCCAUCUCCCUGUAUUAAUAUAACCUGUCCUGCUGGCUUGGCUGGGUUUUGUUGUAGCAGGGGGAUAGGAAAGACAUUUUAAAAUCUGACUUGAAAUUGAUGUUUUUGUUUUUAUUUUGCAAAUUUCAAUAAAGAUACAUCGCAUUUGCAUGGACAAGAA
Mus musculus (house mouse) is the source of this 1865-nucleotide RNA transcript. It is a transcript of the gene named endothelial cell-specific adhesion molecule, with no coding region annotated. NCBI's taxonomy places the organism in Eukaryota, Metazoa, Chordata, Mammalia, Rodentia, Muridae. The transcript has 7 exons. The record is from RefSeq and is marked validated.